Molecule: long non-coding RNA, 4175 nt
Organism: Odontomachus brunneus
Lineage: Eukaryota; Metazoa; Arthropoda; Insecta; Hymenoptera; Formicidae
Exons: 3
Source: RefSeq, a predicted model, not a curated record
AUCACGUCACUCACGCGCCCGCUUCACACCGUAUCCACGUCUUCGUUCGAUCCCUUCUGUACCGGAACGGCGCUACCGUGAUCUCUGCGCGAAGAACAAGCACAUGGAAAAUUGACUCGACUUCCUCGUCGACUUCUUCGUCGCGAGCCGAAUUGCCGUUGUCUCUGCCAGAUGACGAGCGCGAGACACUGCCGAGUCACCGCGCAUGUGUCCCGUGACGUCACGAGCGCGACUCACGAGAAACGUAUUCGUUCGCGCGAGAAUCCGAGCAAUGGUAGUAUCUGCAGAUUUUUAUAUUUGCUAUUUAUUAUUUCAGUAUUGCUGAAGGGGGAAACGAUGCAACAGCUUCUUCUCACGCAGGAUUAGCUCGCCAAACUGCACAUCUCUAUUGCUAACUCCUGCUUAAUUUUCACUACACGAUUGGCACAGAUACCAGCACAUUUCCAAGCUUGACUUUUGUUCGUUUCAUCUGAUUGUCUUACCAGAACUGUUAGUUUACCAUUGCAUGUUUCUAAGGAGUCUAUUCUGUACUUUUUAUAAUAGCAUCGUUAUUAUUAGAAUAAGCCUCUAAGGUUGAUGUCGUCGAAUAGUUUCCAUCGCUUGAUCGAACCUGUACAUAGCAGCACUCUCGAUUUCCCAAUGGAAACACGUUCAACUUGCAAUUAAUGAGUCUACGGUGUACACUACACGCGCGCAUGUAUGCACACACACGCGCACACAUCGAGAAAAUCUGAACGAGCUGGUCUCGAGAUUCGCGAUGGAAUACUUACAUUCCUUUUUUUCCCAAGAUUACUUCCAGAUUGCAAGACUCGUGUUUCUUCUGUUAGAGAUCUUCGUGUUCUCGGAGAGUACUUGAACGGAAAGAUUCGCAAUUCUUGAACAACGCGAGUCGAGACGGGCAAGCUGCAAUAUCGUCGAGGCGAAUCGCGCGAUUUCGCGUCACUCCUUCGAAAGUAGUGCACGUCUCGCGGCGAUAGAGACUUUUUCUUGCUUCGCACGUGCGCACAUGUGCAUGCAGCUCCCGUUUGAACCAGCCGAUCUGGUCGGCAUUUUUAUCAAGACCUUUGAAUGCUUUCCCUUAUCGCCAAUCUCCUUUCGUGGUGUCGAUUUGUUCAUCCCCUGUCGCCACGCUAUUCUUCGAUAAAUUCGCGUACUGGACAUUUUAUCUUUGAAGAGUACAUAUCUUACGAUGUAAUCAAUUAUAUUCGCAACAAGAUAUAUCAUUCUCGUCUGUGGAAGAAGACCUUCCGUUUAAUAAUCAACUGUUAGACUGUGACAUCGAUUUUUCAUUUCUUUGCGAUGAUAUUACGCGGAGAUGUGCGCGCGAUCCUUUGGAGAUUCGCAAAUAUCGGCUGCAAAGUUAAGCAACGACGAGUGUACGACUCUCGAUAAUCGCAACGAGGAAACGAGCUGAGCUCAGCUAUAAAGACGCGCAACAAAUUUUCUAAUCGUUGACGCACAACGCUGUUACGCACUUGCUUAUCUAAUUACUCAAUUAUGAUACCUAGACUAACGAUAGCGUGGUGGCGUUCAGGCGGAAACGGGAUCGACCGCAAGAGAAAGCCGAUCUAACGACACGCUCGUGUACGUUUUGCAAUUGCAGCGCGCAAACACCUGGAAAUACGGAUUUUCGCAUUGAUACAAGAAUCAAGCCUCUGCGAAUUCGUCCGGCGUAUCGCUGUGUUCGUUCAACGGUGAGAUGUGUUUCUAAAUACUAAGAUAUAAAAUAUAUCCACGAUGUGUGUCGUUCUUCGAAUAAAGGCACAAAGAGAAAUAUAUUGAAAAUGAUAACACUCGCGCGCGUCCAUUUGUAUUGCUUUUUAUUAUUCAUUUUUCUUUACGCAUACUUCCUGCAUCGCAUUUUAGUUCAUCGCUCGCCCUAGAAAUGAACUAUCAAACAGUCAAAUUUACAAUCGCAGUUGAGCAGUUUCUUUUAUAAAGUCAGCUCUACAAAAAACGCAAAAAUCUCGUUUUACAACCUAUUACAAGCAACCGCGUGCCGGCUCCCGGUUCGUCGCGCGUGCCGAUAUACUGCUGAUUAAUACAAUUGAUAACUUAGACAUGAUAUUGUUUCGGACAGACUUUUGUAAAACUUUCUUUUCUUGAAAAAGGAAAGGUACACGGGUUUACUUUUCAAUUCAUCAACUGCCUUGUCCCUCUAUAUCAUGUUUCUUUCAUAUCUAGAUUGCCUUCAGUAAUUAUUAAGAAACCUAAUAACGAAAUAUAUAUAUAUAUAUAUACAUAUAUAUGUAUAUUUGUAUGUAUGUAUAUAUAUAUGUGUAUAUAUAUGUAUAUAUAUAAACAACAAAAUGUGAUUUCCAUGGCCUUCUGUUACUAUGUAGGUUGCAACAAUCAUGUAUCGGAGAGAAUCCUCUCAUUUCCUCUUUCUCUCUCUCUCUCUCUCUUUUCUUCCCUUGCAGACUGUAUAAAAUAUCGUUAUCGCCGCUUCUACUACGAAAGGUCUAUCGCUAGCGUGCUUUCCACCUGUACUCGGCAGAGAUUCUUUGUGAAACGAUCGUGUCAUUCUUUUUCGUAUUUUCUUUAUCUGUUCACCUAGAAAAGACAAUAUUGAAGAAAUGCAGUCAGGAACAUACGCGGCUAUAAUAAUGCAACGAUAUUGCGAACACCAACCUUUAGGCGUACAAAGAUACUCGCGACUCUGUCUCUUUCUGUAAAAUAUCUCCUCGGCAAUCAGAUCUGUGAUGGUGAUGCUCUUAUGCUCUUUACAACAAUUCUAUUUGAAUUUUAUUGUAAGUGACAUACACACACAAGCACACGCUCUCUCUUUCUCUCGCACUCGCUCUCGCAUCCGCCUCCAACACAUCUGACAAACAUGCUCUUACUAGAAAUUAUCCUGAACAGACUCAAGUGAACGCGAUUAUAGAUAUAAGUAGCAAAAAACGCUCGACGUGUUCGCGAUGUAAUAAUUUGGAGUAACUUUUUUUUCACAGAUGCGUUAUAUUAAAAUUACGAUUAUACGCCACCGAACGGUCUGUAUAUACAGCCAUAUUUGUUUAGAUCUGUUUUACAAAAAACCACGCGUACCAUACACACACUCUGCUUUCUCUCUCUCUCUCCCUCUCGCUCGAUUAACGCAUCCAAUCUUCGUAAAUACCAUUGCGCAUCGAGAUUUACUCUCUUCUGUCGCAUAACCAGUACUCGAUCGCGCGACACAAAGCACUUUCGUAUUCUCCGACGUAUCUCCAGUCAAAAUCCUAGCGACUCGUGCAAUUUAUAAUGCAGAACAACGGAUUCAACGAUACACACAAAUGCCACGUUACAGAGUCACGUCAAAAUAUAUCGUCCAAUUUUAGGUAAAUGCUUAAAAUUGGUGUAUCCCCGUUUUACAACGUAUUCGUGCUGGCGAACUUUACAUAAUGCGACAUUGCGAACGUUACGAUUCUUUAUACUACGUUUUUGCAAUCCGCGAUUCGUUCUCUUUCUUUACAGUAAGCUUUGCCUUAAUUACGUCUAAGCUCGUAGACGACGGCUCUCAUUGAGAAUUUAAGCACGUAAUGUAUAAACAGUUAUUUCUCUUUUCCCCUCUUUCAACAUAAGGAGAAAUUCAUUAAAUAAUCGAUAUAGAAACCUCGGUCGGUCCUCUUCGACUCGCUUACAAUUACGCUACUUUGAAUAUCUGUGAGUUGUGGUGUUUUUUAAAUACAUGUCGGCUAAGGGGUUCAUCACAGUGAGGUAUAGAAAAUGAUAAAUAACGAUUCGCGCGAAAGCAACGGGAAAUCUUGCAUAACGCAGAUUCCCUCGAUGAGAGCUUCGUCAAGAUAUUACUCUUAGGUGCAGUGCGUUAUAAAUUAAAUAUAAAAAAGAAAAAUGAAUCGCUAAUAUCUUUAAUGAUCAAAUUAAGAGAAUACUAUGAUACCUUCUUAAUAGAAUCGUUACAUUUUCCGUGUCGCUCCGCGAAAAUGAGAGCGGUCGUUUCACACACGCAUACUUUUCUAUAUAAUUAAAAAAAAAAAAAAAAAAUUAAAAAAUCAUCAAACAUGCUGUUACGUAAUUUGUUUGAGCUAGUAUUUGCAUCCUUUUACAAGAAUCUUCUCGUUUAGGGGCAGGACUCGUUUCGCUAAUCUCUUGCUUCGGAUGUACCUUUUCGCGUUUGCGGUGUUUCAUGAUUUCGGUAAAAUGUACAAGAUAAAAUACAUAAAAAAAGUACAUUUGAA